RNAcentral lists this non-coding RNA (28 nucleotides) under Homo sapiens (human). Lineage: Eukaryota; Metazoa; Chordata; Mammalia; Primates; Hominidae. The record is from RNAcentral.
UGAGUAAUGACUCAACUUCUCAGGUACC